Vespa velutina is the source of this 1305-nucleotide long non-coding RNA. RefSeq lists it as uncharacterized. The record is from RefSeq and is a predicted model, not a curated record. The transcript is spliced from 3 exons. Lineage: Eukaryota; Metazoa; Arthropoda; Insecta; Hymenoptera; Vespidae.
AUGUUUAACCUUAGUCUAGAUUAAAGACGGUAAGAGAAGUAUUUGCACGGCGUGCUUGUAGAGAACAACGUACUAGCGUAGAAUUUCUUCGUAACUGUAAUUUUCACUCGAGUAAAAAGAUUCGACGAUUUUCUAUUGAUAUUGUGAGAGGACAAAGGAAAGUUUUCUUCCUUAUCUUCUUUUUCUGUUUUUUUUUUGUUUUGUUUAUGAAACGAUAGUAAAAAUAAAUUGACGAACCUCGAUGUUGAUUUAUUUUGUCGCAUUAUAUAAAAUUAAUAUUUUUAGAUUAAAAUCGAAUAUUUUUCUUGAAAAUGAUUAUCUCUCAAACGAAGGAAUAUUUUCAAUUAAAUUGAAUUGAAAUAAAGAAAGGAAAAAAUAAGAGAAAUGAAUGGAGAAAGAAAUGAAUCAAUGAAAAAUUAUCAAACGGAGAAUCUUACGAAAAAUUCGGAUCAGUAUAUUUUAUCUGCGAAAAAAAAAAAAAAAAAAAGAAAGAAAAAAAGAAAAAAAAGAAAAAAAAAGAGAGAAAAAGAAAGAAAAGAUAAAAAGAAAGAAACCGUGCUCAUCUCGAUUACCAAUAAGAUUUGAGAGAUUAAAAGAAAGGACGUAGAUAAUUGUUCGAACCGCGAAUGGAAGUAAAAGCGGUCGGACAAUAUCGCACGACGGGAAUUUAAUAAAGGAUUAAGCGAAUGUCGCUGUAUGGCAAUAAGAAAGAACAAGUUGAUAAAUUAAAAAAACAAUGUUGAUAACUUGAAGACAAUAAGUUGAAAAUGGUCCUGUGACCUGAGUCAAUGAUACGAAAAUGUUAUAUAACUUUACCAAUAGUUCACGAUUUGAAAAUUGCAUUAUAAAUGAUAGUAUGCAUCAAGUGAUGAUUUCACUAUCAUGUUUCAUUUUACAUAAAACAAUCACAAUAUCUAUGGUUUAAAUGAAAAUAAAUAAUGCAUUUAACAAAAAUCUCAAGUGGUGUAUUCGUAUUUGUUUCAAUGUAUUAUGGAAUUCGAGAACAUUGUUAAUUGUGAAACAUAACACGAAGCUCUGAAACAUUUCAAAUUAAAAUGUAAAUAAUGUAAUCUAUCUGGUGUAUACGACUUUAGCAACAGAUAUGAUCAAACUAUGAACUACGAAUGGAAUAGAAAAACAAUAUCCCCAUUAGCUUAUAACCGAUUCACGUAUAAUAUGACAUUCGAGUUAGUUUUAUAGAAAUUUUUCUAAUAAAUAUAACAAUAGAUUUGAUAAAAGCAAGAAAAAAAGCAUAUGACAAAUUAUAAUUUUUCGAAGAUAAAUUAAUCUAAGAAGUGUUCGUAA